GAUCUGGCUCUCGAGAUUUGGAUAACGGUGCCUCUUCGAUUUUUUAGAGAGCAAUCCUGUUGGGAAUCUGGCUCUCGAGAUUCGAAGAGCGGUGUCUCUUCGAUUUUUGAGAAAUUAAUCAUGUUAGGAGUUUGGCUCUCGAGAUUCGGAGAACGGUGCCUUUUCGAUUUUAGAGCAAGCAAUCUUGUUGGGAGUGUUUUCUCGAAUAUAAGUAAAGGUAGGGCAUGUUUGCUAGUCUACCUUGCCACGAAGCACAGAGGUUGACACACAGGGACUUUCCAAUUAUCCAGCAGUGGUGUUGUUCCUUUACCCUUGUGGGUAAUAAUAUGAUAGCUAGACUUUCAAAAUUUAUGUGUCUAAACUUUGUUAGUGCUGUUUCUUUGCUAUUCUUUUACCCUUCUUGGUCAUAACGAUGUAGUGGGAGCUGCAAGCUUCACGUGUCUAAACUUUGUCAGAGAUCUUUGGUAAAGUUAUCUGUAGUACCCCUGAGGUGAUGGUACGUGUGAAAAAUGGAUGAUUGAACAGUAAGAUUCACGUGCUUUCUACUUCACCAGAAAUCUUCAACAGAAUGCCCGUAAUUUCAGCAAAGCUGAGUGUGCAUGUGACAGGUGCUGACAAGGCUGAAAAAAACAGGUGCCUCUUCGAUUUCUGAGAUCGGCCUUCGUGGUCUCUGAGCAGCCCAGCUUUUGAGAAAGAAAGCCUCUUCGAUUUCUGAGAUCGAUCUUCGUGGUCUUUGAGCAGCUCAGCUUUUGAGAAAGCAAACGUCUCUUCGAUUUUUGAGAUCGGCCCUCGUGGUCUCUGAGCAGCCUAGCUUUUGAGAAAGCAAACGCCUCUUCGAUUUCUGGGCAGACGCCUCUUCGAUUUCUGAAGCUCCAUCGAGUGCAGAUUUUUAUAGAGGCUGACAUUAAGUUUCAAAGCACACUUGAAUCUUCACCAGUAGAAGCUCCAUUCUUGCACUUCUAAGAUCUUGAUUUGUCCGACCUCUUCUCUCUUCAACACAUUUGAAAAUGUCUGGCCCCUCUGACCGUCGUUUUGACUUGAACCUUGUUGAAGAGGCAGCCACGCCUUCUCCAUACAACAUAUGGCGCCCAUCCUUCUUAUCCCUUACUGGUCCUCUUACCGUUGGGGAUUCCGUGAUGAAGAAUGAUAUGACCGCUGCGGUGGUGGCCAGGAACCUUCUCACUCCCAAAGAUAACAGACUACUUUCCAAACGGUCUGAUGAAUUGGCUGUUAAGGAUUAUCUGGCUCUAAGUAUUCAGUGUGCAGAUUCUGUGUCUAAUAUGGCCCAACGCCUAUUUGCUCGAACCCGCCAACUUGAAUCAUUGGCGGCUGAAGUGAUGAGUCUCAAACAGGAGAUUAGAGGGCUCAAGCAUGAGAAUAAACAGUUGCACCGGCUCGCACAUAACUAUGCUACAAACAUGAAGAGGAAGCUUGACCAGAUGAAGGAAUCUGAUGGUCAGGUUUUACUUGAUCAUCAGAGAUUUGUGGGUUUAUUCCAAAUGCAUUUAUUGCCUUCGUCUUCUGGGGUUGUACCGCAUAAUGAAGCUCCAAAUGAUCAACCUCCGAUGCCUCAUCCUUCUAGGGUUCUGUCCAGUACUGAGGCUCCGAAUGAUCCCCCUCCGAUGCCUUCUCUUUCUGGGGCUCUACCGACUGCUGAGACUUCUCCUAAGCAACCUUUGUGAAGGCUUCCUCUUGUUUGUUUAUUUUGACUCAUGUAUAUGUACAUAUUUGUAACUUAUCGGAGAUAUAAAUAAAUAAGCUUUACUUCAUUUCCAACGUAUUGUGUUAAAUACACCAAAGCCUUCUUCACUGAGUGGGGUCGGCUAUAUGAAUCAUAGAACGCCAUUGCGCUCGGUUUUGUGUCAUGUCCUCCGUUAGAUCCAAGUACUCUAAGUCUUUUCUUAGAGUCUCUUCCAAAGUUUUCCUAGGUCUUCCUCUACCCCUUCGGCCCUGAACCUCUGUCCAGUAGUGACAUCUUCGAACCGGAGCGUCAAUAGGCCUUCUUUGCACAUGUCCAAAUCACCGGAACCGAUUUUCUCUCAUAUUUCCUUCAAUUUCGGCUACUCCUACUUUACCUCGGAUAUCCUCAUUCUCAAUCUUAUCCUUUCUCGUGUGCCCACACAUCCCACGAAGCAUCCUCAUCUCCGCCACACCCAUUUUUUGUACGUGUUGAUGCUUUACCGCCCAACAUUCUGUGUCAUACAACAUCGCUGGCCUUAUUGCCGUCCUAUAAAAUUUUCCCUUGAGCUUCAGUGACCUAUGACGGUCACACAACACGCCGGAUGCAUUCUUACACUUCAUCCAUCCAGCUUGUAUUCUAUGGUUGAGAUCUCCAUCUAAUUCUCCGUUCUCUUGUACGAUAAAUCUUAGGUAGCGAAAACGGUCGCUUUUUGUGAUAUUCGCUAGAUUGCUCCGGUCAUUAGUAUGGAUAAGUAUAUAAAUGGAUAGAGAUAGGAAAGCGAACACAAGAUGUACGUGGUUCACCCAGAUUGGCUACGUCCACGGAAUAGAGGAGUUCUCAUUAAUUGUGAAGGGUUUACACAAGUACAUAAGUUCAAGCUCUCCUUUAGUGAAUACAAGUGAAUGAUUUAGUACAAAUGAUAUUAGGAAAUAUUGUGGGAGAAUGAUCUUGUAAUCACGAAACUUCUAAGUAUCGGAGUGUGGUAUCGUCUUGACGUGCCUUAUCUGUCUCAUAGGUAGAUGGGGCAUCUUCUCUGGAAGUACUCUUCCUCCAUCCAGGGGUGGUAUCUUUAACUGGUGGAGAUGCACAAGGUAAUGUAUCAAUUUCACUUGAAGCUUACUUGUAGUUUCAGGCUUGGUCAAGCGCGAUACAAACCAUGUAGUAGGAGUCCCCCAAGUCGCCGAGCUAGGGGAUCUGCUGAAAGAGGUGACAGACAAGGUAAGCAAUCAUAGCUCCGGCUGAUUGUUCACAGUCUCCCUAUCUUGAAGGCAGCAUGAAGGAUAAAGAGAAGAAAAUGAGAAGAGAUGAUAUGUGAUACUUUUGCUUUUGAAGAAGUAACUUUCCACAGGCUUAUUCUUGAACUGAGCUGGAGGGUUUUCUGGUUUCCUCCAGAGUAUAAGGCCGACUGAAGAAUUUGAGGGUCAAAACAAGUCCAUCAAAUCUAGAGUACGUUCGACCCUGCUGAUAUGGGAUACUUUUGCUUUGACAGAGUAAUGGAUGUAUCGGCACGUGUGCUAUUACGCUUGUCUCCACAUGCUUCCUUGUAUCCUUCUCCCUUGCCCUAUCUGUUCCUCAGGUAGAUGCGGUAUCUUCCCUGGAAGCAUAAGAUGUUGAAGAUGAGUACUCGAGAGCAAUGUCAGGUAAGUAAUCAGGUAAGGGGUUCCAGGCAGUCAGUUCCUGGCCGGAAGCUUGAUUCCAAGUACUGACUGAUUGCUCUCUUUCUCCUUGUCUUGCAGGUAAGAACAAGGUCAAAGGAAAAGACAGGGAAAAAGCAUGAUAUGGGAUACUCUUGCUUUUAACCCUGAUGAUAUGAGAUAUUCUUGCUCUAGUAUAGCUUGUUGCAGAGGUAUUAUCGGGGGGAAAGAAAGCUGAAUAUUUCGAAAGGCUUCGUUAGGAGUGCCCUCUCAGAUAUGAGGAAGGGUUGAGCAUUUUUGCAGGUCUGCCUGUCAGUUGGGGAUGGAGGUCGACAUAUAUAGGAGUCUCCUUAACAACAAGUAGUAAUGCUAUUCCUUUACCCUACUUGGUCAUAGCACAGUAGUGGGAGCUGCCAGCUUCACAUGUUUUAACGUUGUCAGAGCACUUUGAAAAAGUGGUUUGUGGUAUCUGGAAAACUGAUGUUGCGUGUGAAGAUUACAAACAGCUUUAUCCAAGGAGAUCCGGCUCUUGAAGUUGGGAAAGUGUUGCCUCUUCGGUUUUCGAACAAGCAAUCCUAUCGGGGAUCUGGCUCUCGAGAUUCGGAGAACGAUGCCUCUUCGAUUUUUGAGAAAGCAAUCAUGCUGGGGGUCUGGCUCUCGAGAUUCGGAGAGCGGUGGCUCUUCGAUUUUUGGGAAAGUAAUCAUGUUGGGAGUCUGGCUCUCGAGAUUCGGAGAGCGGUGCCUCUUCAAUUUUGGAGCAAGCAAUCUUGUUGGGAGUGUUUUCUCGAAUGUGAGUGAAGGUUGGGCAUGUUUGCUAGUCUACCUUGCCACGAAGCACAGAGGUUGACACACAGGGACUUUCCAAUUAUCC
RNAcentral lists this long non-coding RNA (4186 nucleotides) under Malus domestica (apple). RNAcentral's name for it is "long non-coding RNA (MDOM_LNC013733)". The record is from RNAcentral. Lineage: Eukaryota; Viridiplantae; Streptophyta; Magnoliopsida; Rosales; Rosaceae.